This 370-nucleotide ribosomal RNA is filed under the name uncultured bacterium. RNAcentral's name for it is "bacterial SSU rRNA". It matches the Rfam family "Bacterial small subunit ribosomal RNA", at positions 29 to 416 of the family's 1533-position model. The record is from RNAcentral.
AACGAACGCUGGCGGCGUGCUUAACACAUGCAAGUUGAACGAGAGGCAGUAGCAAUACUGUAGUAAAGUAGCAGACGGGUGAGUAACACGUGGGAAACUUCCUUUUAGUAAAGAAUAGCCCAGGGAAACUUGGAUUAAUACUUUAUACGCCCUACGGGGGAAGAUUUAUCGCUAAAAGAUGUGCCCGCGUUAGAUUAGGUAGUUGGUGGGGUAAUGGCCUACCAAGCCUACGAUCUAUAGCUGGUCUGAGAGGAUGAUCAGCCACACUGGGACUGAGACACGGCCCAGACUCCUACGGGAGGCAGCAGUGGGGAAUAUUGGACAAUGGGCGCAAGCCUGAUCCAGCAACGCCGCGUGAAUGAUGAAGGCC